Molecule: long non-coding RNA, 968 nt
Organism: Ailuropoda melanoleuca (giant panda)
Lineage: Eukaryota; Metazoa; Chordata; Mammalia; Carnivora; Ursidae
Exons: 2
Source: RefSeq, a predicted model, not a curated record
GGAAGUGAGAAGUGUCCCCAGAGGAGCAGGAGAUGAGUGGAGGGGGUGCCUGGCAUGGGUAUGCCAGGAAGGGGAGGGGCUUAAGGAACAGGGGUUCAGAGAGGAAAGAAGGGGCUCAGGGCGGAGUAGGGGGAAGAGCUUCUAAAAGAGGAAGGGACUCAGAGGGUGGGGCGAUCAGAGAGAAAAGGGGGACGGAGUUCUCAGAAGAGAGAGGUUCAGAGAGAGGAAGGUUCUCAAGGGGGUUCAAGGCAAAGGGGCCUCAGUGAGAGAGGGCGCUCCCUAGGGCUCAGAGGGGUCCCGGGUCUCAGAACGGGGAAAGGUUGGGGGGAGGUCUUUGAGAAGAAGGGAUGCAGAGAGGGGAGGGGCUUCGAGGAGAGGCGGGGCCUCAAUAGGGGGCAGGGUUUCCGGGAGGACACUCCUCGAGGAGGGGGCUGGAGGGGGGCGGGUCUGCAACGCAGGCGCACCCUUCUUGAUGAGCUCCAAGGACUCCUGCCGUUUCUCCAGGCCGAGCUUCUCCCACUGCUCCGUUUGGUCCAGGCAGAACCGGAGAGGAGGAUGGCCACAGCGCUCUCCCAUAAGGCCCUGCGUCACCACCCAGGCCUCGACCCCUCUGCGGGGGCUGACUCACCUUUGCCCUCCUGUUGGGGGUUCAGUGUGUGAACGGCCACAGUCUUGUUAACUCUGACUCCUUCCGGCUGAACCAUGUUGGGAUGGGGGGUGGGGGGAGGUCAGGGAAAUAAAAGAACAGACAGACACAACUGGUCAGCGAAGACACUGUUCCUCACAGAGGCACAACGGCAUCACCCAUCCUAGCUGUGUGAUCAGGAGUCAGUUACUUAACUCUUCUGUGCCUCAGCCUCCUCCCUUCGAAAGAGGAAGCGAUACAAACAGCUACUUCAUAUGGUUGUCCUGGGAAUUAAUCACAAAAUUAUACGUUGCUAACAAAAUAACACACAUUUUUAAAAGCU